ACAGAGGUGCCGAGCGUUAGGCGGAAUCACUGGGCUUAAAGCGUGUGUAGGCGGGUUCUUAAGUAUCUUGUGAAAUCCCACGGCUCAACCGUGGAACUGCUGGGUAUACUGGGAAUCUUGAGCCACUUAGGGGCAACCGGAACAAAUGGUGGAGCGGUGAAAUGCGUAGAUAUCAUUUGGAACGCCAAUGGUGAAAACAGGUUGCUGGGAGUGUGCUGACGCUGAGACACGAAAGCCAGGGGAGCGAACGGGA
Molecule: ribosomal RNA, 253 nt
Filed under: uncultured prokaryote
Description: partial 16S ribosomal RNA
Rfam family: Bacterial small subunit ribosomal RNA
Source: RNAcentral